Molecule: small RNA, 863 nt
Filed under: Pan troglodytes (chimpanzee)
Lineage: Eukaryota; Metazoa; Chordata; Mammalia; Primates; Hominidae
Description: processed transcript
Source: RNAcentral
CACGUUCCAGGGUCGGGUUUGGUGGAUCCCUCAGUCCCUGCCGCCGCGGGGCGCCCUGGGAUAGCGGCGGGGCCUCCCGUCACCUGCAGAAUCCAUUAAGGCCUGGAGGCCUAAGGAGUUAGUAUUGUAUGAAAUCCCUACGAAACCCGGUGAAAAGAAAGAUGUCUCUGGGCCCCUGCCUCCUGCAUACAGCCCCCGAUAUGUUGAGGCUGCCUGGUACCCGUGGUGGGUACGAGAGGGCUUCUUCAAACCAGAAUAUCAGGCCCGGCUGCCCCAAGCUACAGGGGAGACCUUUUCCAUGUGUAUCCCACCUCCCAAUGUCACUGGCUCCCUGCACAUUGGCCACGCACUCACGGUGGCCAUACAGGAUGCCCUCGUGCGCUGGCACCGGAUGCGUGGGGAUCAAGUGCUGUGGGUCCCUGGUUCAGAUCAUGCAGGAAUUGCUACACAAGCUGUGGUGGAGAAACAACUGUGGAAGGAACGGGGAGUGAGGAGACAUGAGCUGAGCCGGGAGGCCUUCCUUAGGGAGGUGUGGCAGUGGAAGGAGGCGAAAGGUGGAGAGAUCUGUGAGCAGCUGCGAGCUCUGGGUGCCUCCCUGGACUGGGAUCGAGAGUGUUUUACCAUGGAUGUUGGCUCCUCAGUGGCUGUGACUGAAGCUUUUGUGCAGCUCUACAAGGCGGGGUUGCUGUACCGGAACCAUCAGCUUGUCAACUGGUCAUGUGCUUUAAGAUCAGCCAUCUCAGACAUUGAGGUGGAGAACCGGCCCCUGCCUGGCCACACACAGCUUCGACUGCCUGGCUGCCCCACCCCCGUGUCUUUUGGCCUCCUAUUUUCUAUUGCCUUCCCGGUGGAUGGAGAGCCUG